GAUGAACGCUGGCGGCGUGCCUAAUACAUGCCAGUCGAGCGAACAGAUGAGGAGCUUGCUCCUCUGACGUUAGCGGCGGACGGGUGAGUAACACGUGGAUAACCUACCUAUAAGACUGGGAUAACUUCGGGAAACCGGAGCUAAUACCGGAUAAUAUAUUGAACCGCAUGGUUCAAUAGUGAAAGACGGUUUUGCUGUCACUUAUAGAUGGAUCCGCGCCGCAUUAGCUAGUUGGUAAGGUAACGGCUUACCAAGGCAACGAUGCGUAGCCGACCUGAGAGGGUGAUCGGCCACACUGGAACUGAGACACGGUCCAGACUCCUACGGGAGGCAGCAGUAGGGAAUCUUCCGCAAUGGGCGAAAGCUUGACGGAGCAACGCCGCGUGAGUGAUGAAGGUCUUCGGAUCGUAAAACUCCGUUAUUAGGGAAGAACAAAUGUGUAAGUAACUAUGCACGUCUUGACGGUACCUAAUCAGAAAGCCACGGCUAACUACGUG
This 497-nucleotide ribosomal RNA is filed under the name uncultured bacterium. RNAcentral describes it as "partial 16S ribosomal RNA". It matches the Rfam family "Bacterial small subunit ribosomal RNA", at positions 28 to 507 of the family's 1533-position model. The record is from RNAcentral.